This 365-nucleotide long non-coding RNA is filed under the name Phoenix dactylifera (date palm). RNAcentral describes it as "long non-coding RNA (PDAC_LNC002108)". The record is from RNAcentral. Lineage: Eukaryota; Viridiplantae; Streptophyta; Magnoliopsida; Arecales; Arecaceae.
AAGCCAUGCCAAUAUCUCAGUAGUCCAUCUCCACAAUCUCUUCUUUGUCUCUUCACUCAUCUUUCAUUAAUUAAACUUCUGUCGCAUGAUCUUAGCUGAAUGCGAGAAAUACUACUCCGUCCCCAUAUCAUUCACAUUUUACAAUAAGCUGGCGUCUUGAUUCUGAUGAAAAACUUGCACAGGUAGAAGCACUAGUUUUCUCCACAUAAACGGCAAAAUUUAACGUCAAAAAAUUGUAGUAAUUCACAAAAUAGAAUCUUUCUACCAUCUAAUGGUUCUGAAACAAGGACAAGAGCUCAUGAGCAAGGCGGACGGAUCACUGCACAAAGGCAGACAUGCAUAGGCUUUUGUUGAAGAGUGCUGCA